This 379-nucleotide ribosomal RNA is filed under the name uncultured Alphaproteobacteria bacterium. RNAcentral's name for it is "bacterial SSU rRNA". It matches the Rfam family "Bacterial small subunit ribosomal RNA", at positions 9 to 416 of the family's 1533-position model. Lineage: Bacteria; Pseudomonadati; Pseudomonadota; Alphaproteobacteria. The record is from RNAcentral.
GAGUUUGAUCCUGGCUCAGAACGAACGCUGGCGGCAGGCCUAAUACAUGCAAGUCGAACGGUGCAGCAAUGCACAGUGGCGCACGGGUGCGUAACGCGUGGGAAUAUGCCCUUGGGUGCGGAAUAGCUACUGGAAACGGUAAUUAAUACCGCAUAAUGACUCCGGCCCAAAGAUUUAUCGCCCAAGGAUUAGCCCGCGUCAGAUUAGCUAGUUGGUGAGGUAAUGGCUCACCAAGGCGACGAUCUGUAGCUGGUCUGAGAGGAUGAUCAGCCACACUGGAACUGAGACACGGUCCAGACUCCUACGGGAGGCAGCAGUGGGGAAUAUUGGACAAUGGGCGCAAGCCUGAUCCAGCCAUGCCGCGUGUGUGAAGAAGGCC